CCUACGGGAGGCUGCAGUAGGGAAUAUUGCACCAUGGGCGAAAGCCUGAUGCAGCAACGCCGCGUGAGUGAAGAAGGCCUUCGGGUCGUAAAACUCUUUUCAAGAGGAAGAGGAAGGACGGUACUCUUGGAAUAAGCCUCGGCUAACUACGUGCCAGCAGCCGCGGUAACACGUAGGAGGCGAGCGUUAUUCGGAUUUACUGGGCGUAAAGCGCGUGUAGGCGGCGCAGAAAGUUGGAUGUGAAAGCUCCUGGCUUAACUGGGAGAGGUCGUUCAAAACUUCUGUGCUUGAGUAUGGUAGAGGAAAAUGGAAUUCCGGGUGUAGUGGUGAAAUGCGUAGAUAUCCGGAGGAACACCAGUGGCGAAAGCGAUUUUCUGGACCAAGACUGACGCUCAGACGCGAAAGCUAGGGUAGCAAACGGGAUUAGAUACCCGUGUAGUC
This 441-nucleotide ribosomal RNA is filed under the name Weissella confusa. RNAcentral describes it as "bacterial SSU rRNA". It matches the Rfam family "Bacterial small subunit ribosomal RNA", at positions 338 to 795 of the family's 1533-position model. The record is from RNAcentral. Lineage: Bacteria; Bacillati; Bacillota; Bacilli; Lactobacillales; Lactobacillaceae.